Molecule: ribosomal RNA, 479 nt
Filed under: uncultured bacterium
Lineage: Bacteria
Description: bacterial SSU rRNA
Rfam family: Bacterial small subunit ribosomal RNA
Source: RNAcentral
AAAUGAAUAGACGGGGACCCGCACAAGCGGUGGAGCAUCUGGUUUAAUUCGACAGUAAGCGGAGAACCUCACCAGGACUUGACAUCUCGGGAAGUCUGCCGAAAGGUGGAUGUGCCGCAAGGAACCCGAUGACAGGUGCUGCAUGGUUGUCGUCAGCUCGUGCCUUGAGGUGUUCGGUUAAGUCCGUAAACGAGCGCAACCCAUGUCAUGUGUUGUAUUUUUCACAUGAGACUGCCGGCUCCAAGUCGGAGGAAGGUAUGGAUGACGUCAAAUCAGCAUGGCCCUUAUGUCCUGGGCCACACAGGUGCUACAAUGGACGGUACAGUGGGCUGCAACAUAGUAAUAUGAAGCCAAUCCCAAAAACCGUUCUUAGUUCGGAUUGAGGGCUGAAAUUCGCCCUCAUGAAGCUGGAAUCGCUAGUAAACGUGAAUCAGAACGUCACGUUGAAUAUGUUCCCGGGUCUUGUACACACCGCCCGU